RNAcentral lists this ribosomal RNA (602 nucleotides) under Colacogloea biconidiata. RNAcentral's name for it is "partial large subunit ribosomal RNA". It matches the Rfam family "Eukaryotic large subunit ribosomal RNA", at positions 53 to 650 of the family's 3401-position model. Lineage: Eukaryota; Fungi; Basidiomycota; Microbotryomycetes; Colacogloeaceae. The record is from RNAcentral.
GAGGAAAAGAAACUAACAAGGAUUCCCCUAGUAGCGGCGAGCGAAGCGGGAAGAGCUCAAAUUUGUAAUCUGGCACCUUCGGUGUCCGAGUUGUAAUCUCGAGAAGUGUUUUCCGCGCUAGACCGCAUAUAAGUCUGUUGGAAUACAGCGUCAUAGGUGGUGACAACCCCGUUCAUGAUGCGGAUGCCUAGUGCUUUGUGAUACACUUUCGAAGAGUCGAGUUGUUUGGGAAUGCAGCUCAAAUUGGGUGGUAAAUUCCAUCUAAAGCUAAAUAUUGGCGAGAGACCGAUAGCGAACAAGUACCGUGAGGGAAAGAUGAAAAGCACUUUGGAAAGAGAGUUAAAAGUACGUGAAAUUGUUGAAAGGGAAACGCUUGAAGUCAGACUUGCGUAUUGGAGUUCAGCCGCAAGGUGUAUUCUUCAAUUUGCAGGCCAGCAUCAGUUUCUGGGGGUACAAAAGGGUAAGAGGAAGGUGGCAGCCUCGGCUGUGUUAUAGCCUCUUACUGGAUGUAUCUUUGGGGACUGAGGACUGCAGCGCACUUUUUGCAAGUCCCUCGGGACUUUCUGCGCUUAGGAUGCUGGUGGAAUGGCUUUAAACGACCC